UUUCAACAACGGAUCUCUUGGUUCUGGCAUCGAUGAAGAACGCAGCGAAAUGCGAAAAGUAAUGUGAAUUGCAGAAUUCAGUGAAUCAUCGAAUCUUUGAACGCACAUUGCGCCCGCCAGUAUUCUGGCGGGCAUGCCUGUCUGAGCGUCAUUUCAACCCUCAUGCCCCAGCGGUGUGGUGUUGGGGAUCGGCCUGAGCUAACGCCCGGGCCGUCCCCUAAAUCUAGUGGCGGACUCGCUGUAGCCUCCUCUGCGUAGUAGUGAUAUUUCGCACCGGAGAGCGGCGAGCCCCUGCCGUAAAACCCCAACUUCUAAGGUUGACCUCAGAUCAGGUAGGAAUACCCGCUGAACUUAA
Molecule: small RNA, 355 nt
Filed under: uncultured fungus
Lineage: Eukaryota; Fungi
Description: eukaryotic LSU rRNA
Rfam family: 5.8S ribosomal RNA (bases 1-151)
Source: RNAcentral